CAUGGAGUUCAAGUUUUCACAAUCGCUUUUAACAGAAUAAUACAAGAUGACAGUAUAGCUGACUUGCAAUUAUAAUACAAUUUCAAUUACAAUGAGCAUACUUUCUAGAUUUUCUUUCCCAAAUGGAGAGCCCAAAAAGAAGUAACAAAAGACUCAUUCAUCAAGUGAAGAAGAAAAUCCUUUAUUUUUUGAUGAGCAAAAAUAAGAAUAAAUUGCUGUUCACACUGGAUAAGACCAUAUCAAAAGUGACAGUAAACAUGUACACUGUUGGUGUUAUAUGGGGAUGGGGUUCUCGGU
RNAcentral lists this long non-coding RNA (297 nucleotides) under Homo sapiens (human). RNAcentral's name for it is "LHRI_LNC1662.1". Lineage: Eukaryota; Metazoa; Chordata; Mammalia; Primates; Hominidae. The record is from RNAcentral.